AAAAAGAAAACUUACUAUAAGAGAGAUAACCAGCAUAGCCAGUAGUUCCAGUAACACCUGCAAUGAGUCCGUACUUGACAAAGCUCCAAAUUUUCCCUCCCGAAACCUGUGGGGCAACUUUCGGCGCCGGAGGAGGAGGUGUCGACUGAUCGGAGAGAAUGGAUUGUGAAGAAGGUAUUGUUCCUUUAGAAGGAUCCGAAGAAGAAGAAACCACUCCUGAACAUAAACCCCUUUGAGAAAUACUCUUUGAACUGAAAUUAUUUGAAAUUGUUCGCGAUCUAAGAACAAUGGAAGACAUUUUUAUUAGAGUUUUUGAUUUGGCUUUUUUUUUUUUUUUUUUGAUUGAUGGAGAUUUUAAACUAAUUAGGGUUUAGGGUUUUAGAAAUCGAAAGUGGGCGAUGAAAUCAAAAUGUUGAAUUUAAGAGGAGUGUUUGGAAGUUGGAGUUGAACUAUUCUACCUAGAGUCUAGAAUGGAGAUUGUGGAAUUCGUUGCUUGGUAUUUGACUUUGUUUUUCUUUUGGGUAAACUACAGAUUUAGUCACUUACAUAUAGUUAAAUUAUAGUUUAGUCACUAACUUUUAAAAGGUUUGAUAUGGUCACUAUAGUUAUCGAUCUGUUAUAUUUUGAUCACUAAGCCAUUAACAGUGUAGUAAUAAGUUGACUUGGUACGUUAUAUCAUCAUUUCAAACAAAAAUUUUAAGUCAAAUUGCACAUAAGUAAUCCCUAUAUAUUUUAUAACAUUUUAAUUUUUUUUCUUCUUUCUUUUAUUUCUUUAUUUCUUUUGUUACCUUGUUCUUCACUUCCAAAAUUAUCAAAGGAAACAUCAUAAAAGUAUGUUUUUGUGAACUUCUCAACUUUCUUUUACUAAAUUAUUACAAUACCUUAGUGUCUUAUAUUUAUGCCAUGUCUGAAGCUGCUUUUGGGAUCAUGAUAUCUUCGUUGUCCUAGCAAAGAAGAUACCGGAGGAAAGGAUACUCACUUCAUAUGUGCAUAUGAACAAGCAAUAGGUGUAGUAAAUAGAGUUGGUAGCUAGUUACUAUUAUUAGAAACUCAUGUCGAACGUUACAUUUGAUAUUCUAGAGGAGCUGAUCGACCCAACCACACUCACAUAAAAAGAAACAAAUAUAAUCAACAAUACCAACAGUACAAGCAUGGUGUUAUUGCAAGCAUAACGGUGUCAGACUAUAAUAUAGUAGUUUACAAUGAAACAUUUUAACAAGUAUUCCAAGGACCGUUCUUUCCAUAAGGAUUCAUAAGGGAAAGCAUUAAUCGAUUACCUCAUGUAUAAGGUAAUUUACUAAUCUAAUUUACUCAAGUAUUAUUAGUGCAAGUCGAAUGAAAAUCAUAAAGAAAGUAUACUAGCUUAGCAAUCAAACAAAUUAACCUAAUUUCCCUUUUUCUUGUCUUAGACUAUGCAAAUAAUCAAGGUGAUGGUCGAUUAGUCAACUAACUACUUAUGAAGCUAAUAUGCAUAUCCUGGUUACAUUUAUUGUCACUCUUAAGUAGGAAUUUUCUCUCUGUCUCACCCUAACAUAAGAAUUACCUCCUAGGAUCUUCUCUCAGUCUCGCCUAGGUAACAGAUCACCUUUCGGUCUCAUCAUUUGGCGCAAUUGUGUCAAAAUUCUACAUGAUAUAAUCUCCUCUUGAUCUCAUCUAUCUAGAUCCUCCACUAGAGAAGUUAAUUGUAAUGUACUAAGCAAUUUGAUACAAUUGAACAAGCAAAUAAUCGAGAUCAUGCAUAUCAACUUAGAUUAACAAUUAGUAUCACAAUCAACCAUCAAGAAGGUUUAGAACAACAUAAAUUUCAAAAUGCAAGCAACCAUUCUAACAUUCAAUCGAUAAAAGAUGAAUAAGAACAAAAGAUAGAAAUGCUCAUUCAUGGAGAAUAAUCCAAUUCAAAGCUAAAACUUUCUUGAUCUCUAUUUACAUAGCCUUCAACAAGAAAAAAUGAAAAAGCUACAGCAAAACUAUCUCUCUCUACUCUAUUCUCACAUAAUUUUAAUGUAACAUAAAAUGUGUAUUGCAUGACAUCUAAAAAUAUGAUAGAGAAAUGGUUUAUAUAGCAAUGAACCAAAAGAUCUUUGUACCCUUACUAAAAUCCACUUAAUAAAGGCUAAAAACACAAAAAUGCCACUAGUAAUCGUUUCAGAUCUGGAUCUACAUAGCCAACGCCGUGACCUCCACUUUCGCGAUGUUGCGGCACUGACAAACGUCUUCUCCCCAAGAAUGGCUCCAACAUCGCAAUCUCAUCACAAGUACAUUGUGACUUAGCAACUCGAUGUUGCAACUUUGAGUCCUCUCUUGCGACAUGAUUAACUAUCGAGUCCUUCUCCUAUGUUCAUGUUGCAUGAUGUCAUGACCCUAGAAAGCUCAAUCUCACAACGUGAUUCACUAUUCAGCCACUUCAAUCAUUUAAAACUGAUUAAGCGUCAUUUGCUACUAAAACCCAAAAUGACAUGAGAACACUAGAUUAAGCACGAAAAUAAGAUAAAAUUUAAAUUCGACGCACAAAUUGUUAAGUACAUAGAAAGACUCGAAAACACACUAUAUGAAACAAUCAUAUUGACAAACAUCAAAUUGCCACUCCACAUAAGCCUAAAGGUUUAAUUAACCCUACAAGAGUCUUUGAAAAAGUUCACUCUAACACAAAGCCUAAAGGUUCCUUAAUAGCAUGCAUCAUAGCACUCAUAGACUAAGUAAGCCUUUUCUGGGCUUUGUUUAUCAUGUUAAGUUUCACAAUCGAAUAUGGGUUGCUGUUUCCUAAAAUAAUUAUUUGAACUUAAGCCUACUCAUUUGUCACAUUUUUUUUAAAGUUACUCCACCUUACUCUAUAGAAAAACUUUACCCUCUUUCCAAUAUUUUUUUCCUUGGACUGCUCCACCUCUAGACUAAGAUUCACACUAUCCACCACCUUGGCCAUUUUCCAUAUUUCUUCAUUAACUUAUCAUUGAACUCUCUAACUUUCUUUUAAGAUUCCUCAAGGGGUUUACCUUUUUUUUUUUCUUCGAGUCUUUUAGUACAAUUAUAUACUAUUUGCCUACAACUAAAUGUUGUAGCUAAAAGGGCCAUUGCAAGCAACAUUUGAAGGGAUCUACUAAUUUCACUCAAGUAGCAAUUUCUCAAUUUCAAUCACUUUCUUACCCACAUUAACUAAGAGUCCUUCAGUGUAAUAUGUCUAAAUUUUUUCGAUCUUGUAAAUCGCGUAAUUUUAAAAAAUAUAUAAAAAACUAAUAAAUUUCUAAGAAUGUGUAUCGAGUUAAUUGUAUGAUAUUGUUGGAAUAAAAUAGAUAUAAAAAAUUAAUAGUAAAGUUUAGCAUGAAAUGUUAAGAAUAGAGUAAGGACUAAAUUGCUAAGGAUUAAAAAAUUGAGGGACUAAAGGAUAAUUAUAGUAUUUAUAAAAAAAUUAUUAGACCAUGAUUACAGUAUAAAAAUUUGAUGAAGAUGUAGGACAAGUGGUCGAGUUUGAUUGGUUAUUGAGUUAAUCAUUUCAAAGGGAAAGGAAAUGGAAAUGGAAAGGAAAUUAGGCCUUUCCAUGGGACAAACGGUUAAGUAGAAAGGAAAAGAAAAAACAAAAAGUUUCCUAAGAAAAAUUCACAUUUCUCGAGUUUAGAUUCGAAUCUUAACUUCGUAUUUGAUCUUUUUAAAUUUUGAAAUAUUUUAUAUGAACUUAUUUAGCAUUAAUUUAUUAUAUUUAUACAUGUAAUUAGAAUUAUAUGAAAAUUAUUAUAAUUGAUUAUCGAAUUAUUUGAUAUCAUAAAAUGAAAUAAUCUACAUUACUCCAAUAAUAUAAUGUAAUGUUAAGUAUUCGAAUUUAAUGACUAAAUUUUAGUAAAUAAUGAAAAAUACAAAACAUUUGAGUAAAAUUAUAGAUUUAAAAACUGAGUUUAAAUAAAAGAUAAAGUCUAUUUUUUAAAUGGAUCGUGUUUCAUGUAUAUUUUUUCAGUUAGGCCCUAUCUUAAUCUAUUUAAAUUUUUUCUCUCCUAUUGUUAUUUUGUUGCUGUUUAGCUAUUAUUUUACUAUUAUAUUCUUAUUAUUUUAGAGACAUUUACUUACUAAAUUGUAACUGUUUUAAUGUUAUUUAAAUAUAAAAUUUUUCUUUAAUAUAUUUUUAAUCUGUUGAAAAACAUUUAUUUUAAUGUUUUUAGUGUAUUUAAUGUGGGUCGGACUCAAAUUUAGUAUUUUUUUAUCUGGGAUAAAAUUUUAAACUCAUUUUUUAAAAUUAAAUCAGACCCAAACUUAAAAAACAAACCUAAAAUUGUAUACUAUCCCAACCCAUUAUAAUGCCUAAUAAAAGAAAAUUACUAAGCAUCACAAACUAUGCCAACACAUUAUGUCCCUCUCGUUAGACUACCUCCCAAAUUAAGAGUUCACCCUGCUACAACACAUUGUAUGUAUCCUUUAUCAACACCUCUCUCUUCUAAGUUUAGCAUAUGAAUCAUGGCUAAAUCACAUCAAGAUUUGCCACUAGGGCUGUAUAGCAGGAUCACAAGUCCUUCAAUCUUAGCCAAUACACAUGCAGAUAGUUUAUCAUGAUUCAACCAUCAAUUUCCUUGGUAAAACAUCUAUUUAGGAGACUUGCAUCUGGCUACAUACUUCACCGUUGAACCACACCUCUUUUAGAACCUUUCAUUUCCUCUCCAAGCUCUUUAAAACCACCACAAGUGGCUUUAAAAUAGAGAUGGAGUCAAGGGGGAAGUCAAAAAAAUUUUGAGGAAAUCAGAAUUAAAUUGUAUAUUUUUACAAUAGUAAAAAUGUAAAUUCAUUAUCUUAAUAGUCUAUAUCUUUAUAACUUUUAAAGGAUUAAUUCAAAUUUUUAUUAUUUUUGGAAGAACCAAAAUGUAAUUUUAUUAUAAUCAUCUUUUUUUUUCCUUAUAAUACACUUCAGCAUACUCAAAUCCACGUCUUUCUUUAUUAUCAAUAAUGUCCAUAUUAAUCCAAUCGGGACUAAUCCUCGAUAAAAAUCAAAAUUUUAAAUUUUUAAAUGUUGGAGGGAAGGUUUUAAAUUUUGUCCUUGAUCCAAUAUUGAUGAAGAUGAAAUGGAUGGGGAUGACUUAAUAAAUGUGUGUUUCAACCUCAUUCAUGAAUAAGAAUCAUAGCCACAAACUUUUUUCAAAGCAUUGAAUGCAAACCCAUCGAAUGUGGUGUUCAUGAUUCAUCCAUGCAGCGCUUUAGACGGUGACAAGUCUUAUUUUAAUAUAAUUGUAAUAACUAAAUUUAUUUUUAUUGAUUAAGAAUUUUAACUAAAAAUAUUUUUUAAAAAUUAAAUUAAAUGAUAAAUGAUUGUGUGAAGUACAUCUUGUUUAAGGUUAAAUUGUAGUUACAAUACUUCUAUUAUGUUUAAAUUUUAGAGUAUAUAUACUUUAAUUUGACAUGAUUCGGUUCCUCUAAUUAGUGGCGAAGCUAAGGUCUGGCAGCCUCAAAUGAAAAAUUUUCCAUUUAAGCUCAUUUUUAAUUUAUAAAUUAGUAAUAGUAAAAUUAUACUUUGACUCUCUAAUUGAUAAAAAUUUAAUUUAAUCCUUUAAAAAUUAUAAAGAUAUAAGGUAUUAAAAUAGUGAAAUUAAAUUUUUACUAUACAAUUUAAUUCCGCCCCUACCUCUACUUUUAUAACAUCAUUAGUUAGGCCAAUAGUUGACACCCUUAAUUAUUUCGGUAUGCUUAAGCUAGACUUUUUCUUAAAAAUAUUACAACUUAUCAUGUCAAGUGUGUGUGUUAGAAAUGUGAUUUAAAUCAAAUUUUGCAUUAGCAUGUCAAUUAAAAUGGUUAGGGAUGUUAACUGUUUGGACUAACUAGUGUCAUUGUAAAAGUAGAAGACCAAAUUAUGUCAAAUUAAGACAUAAAAGACUAAAUCCCAAAUGUGAGCAUAAUAAGAUAUCAAAAUUAUAAUCUAUCCAUUAUCUUAUAAUGACCAAAAGAAAGGGAAAAAAAAGAUGGGUAUGUUCAUGAAGAGGUAAAAGUACUAUAGCAAUCAUUGUACUAUACCCCGGUUUGCAUUUUAUUUCUACUGAAAAUUUGGCAAAUUAGUCCUUAUAUGUAAAACAUCAAAAUAACCAUUUAUCGAUAAAAUUUUAAUAGAGAGACUAUUUUACUCAUUCAUCUAAUGUAUAAGAACCAAUUUGUCCAUUUUUUAGUAGAGUGAUCAAACCCAAUAUGAAGUACAGUACAAGGACUGCUAUGAUACUUCUACCGUCAUGAAUCUCUUUUAUAAUGAUCAAUCUAUACUAUUAUUUAAAGCUUCGACUUAACUAAGUUGAUGUCACCCUCAAUUGGUUUCCAACUCAAUUAUGAAAUUAAUAAAAACUCGAUAUUUUUAUAAAGCAACAAAUAAUUUAAGAGUAUUUUGUCUUUUUAGAUAGAGAUAAAUCUCAAAACUAUAUAUAAAGUAUGGUUUAAUGUGCAAUUGUAUACAUUAAAUUUUGAUUUGAUCCAGUUCUUGUAAAUUAUUAAUACAAUUAUUGAUAUAAACAUAAUUUUAUGUUUAUAUAUAGCAUACGUAAAUAAUUAUAUUUAUCCAAUAUAAAAAUAAAUUGAUGUGUUUAUUUCUUUAAAUGUAUAUGAUUAAAUUAAAAUUAAAGUUUCAAAUAUACAUUUGAACUACAAUUAGACUUUCACGUGUAUAAUUAUAUCAAAUUAAAAUUUAUGUAUAUAAUUACACAUUAAAUCAAAGUUCAUGUAUAAUUUUAAAAUUUAUCCCUUUUAAACACAAUUUAGAAAAACACAUUCACAUGACAGAAUUUAAACUAAAAACCUCAAAAUCUUUCUUACUCCAGUUUUACCAUUUCAACAAAAGUUAUAAUUAAUUUUCAUAUAAAUUAUUUCUAUAAAUUUCCUAUAUAAUUUCUUUUACCCACGUCGUGAAUUUCGCAUAAUAUAAUAUACAUGGUAGGUACCUUUUAUGACAUUUAUUAGCAAUCUUUUUUUUUUUAUUUGUCAAGGUUAGAGGCGAGUAUUUAAUCGAGUUAAGUCGAAUCAAAUCGAGUAAAAAAAUUUUGAGUUAAUCGAGUUCUCGAGUCCUAUUUUAUCAUCCUAACUCAAUUUGAAUUUAUUUUUGAAUCAAGUCAAGUGAAAUGAAAUUCGAAUCGAAUCAUGUGAAAUUAUUCGAGUUAAAUUAAAAAAUUUAAACAUGUCAAAAAAUAUAUUAUUACAGUAUAAAUAAUUCCAUGUUAGAGCACAUAAAUUUGAAAUCAUAUAUAUUUAAUUUUUUUUCAACAAAUAAAUUUGAAUCAUUAAUUAGAUCCCAAAAUUAUUAUUUUAGAAAAUUUUUAAAAUUUUAGCUUUUUUAUUUUUUUAGAAAAUUUUAAAAUUUUUAAAUAUAAAUUUUGACAUUUUUAUAAAUAUUUUAAAAUUUAAAAAUUAUUGUAAUUUUUAAAAAAUAUUUUGAAUUUUUUUUUGUUGAGCCAAUUUGCUUAUUUUCGAAGUUGGUAGGGACAAAAAGGGUAUUUGAAUUUUAAAAUUCGAAUAACUCAAAUAAUUUGCAUAACUGAAUAAUUCGAUUCGGUUAACUCGAAAUUCAAAAUUAUUUUCAAUUUUUUCGAAUCGAAUCGAGUUUUGCUCACCCCUACUCAAGGUAUUUAUUAAAGGGAACCCAGUAACUAAUCUUCAACAUUAUGUAGACCCAUUAAGGUUUAAAUGGUGACCACGAGUUUUAAAGCUGCUUCAUACCCAAUGUGAGGACCGAACUCUCAAUCACUGGUUAAAGUAGCAGAAACCCUUGCCAUCCAACCUAACUCUCGUGAUUGUUUAUUAGCAAUCCAUAAAUCUUAAAAUCAAAAUAAUAAUAAUAAACCCACUAAACCCUUUAAUUUAUCACAUAAAUUAUCAAUUAUUCAUUUAUUAAGUUUUAAUUUUCCAUUUAUAUAUUGAAGAAAUUAUAAUUACUCAUAUCUAAUUAUACUUUGAUACACUUAAUCUUACGCAAUUACUUUAUAAAGACAAAACCCUGAAUAGCAUUGAUUACUUAAAAUGCUAAAAUAAGGUGCACAUUUUUAAAGAUCAAAAGCGACAUAAAACUACCACAUUAAUGCAAACCAUGGACGUGGCCUUCAUAUCAGCCAAUACAUACAAUUUAUUAAGUUUUAAUUUUUCAUUUAUCACAUAUAUAUCUCUGCAGCUUGAUUGUCUUGUUAGCUAUAAACUUAACCUGUUAAUUAAACUUUAAUUCAUUUUUUUUUAAUUCCAUCAUUACUACCAUUAGAUAUAAUUUCAUAUUUGCUUUUUCUUGAUUGCUUUAGGAGAGUUGUAAUAUGGAUUUUUUUGUAGGAAAACAAUUGAAGUCAUUCAAGAAGACAUAAACAGCUGCAACUGUGUAAGAGUUUAACAUUGAGAAUAGAUCCUUACACGUUAUUGAAAUACCAUACUAAAGAUAAAGACAUAUAGCUAAACAUUAGACACGCCAUAAAUAUAUAUAUAUAUGAAAAUACAACAGAAAUGCUUGAAAAUACAACAGAAAUGCUUGAACAUCAUUUGCUCUGCCUAGAUCCUUCUUCCCCCAUUGCUGCGAUUCCCUGUCAUUGGCUUUCUUCUCCGCCUCUUCUCAAUAUGAUCUUCAACCAAACUCACAAUCCACUUUGGCUUACCAGUUUGGAAAACAACAUAUCCCACGCCCAAUCCUAACACCACUCCACAUCCAUAACCCAACAACACUACUUUCCACCCAAAAUCAAUGUUUGAUUUUAAUCCACCUUCUUCUGAUAAGUUUGAAGGUGGUGGUUGCUCAUUAUUGUUGCAAUCACUUGACAAUGGAAAACCAUGUAAUCCUUUGUUCCCUUCAUAGGAAGUAUUUCCAAAGGUAUUGAAUUGUUUUCCUUGAGGGAUGCACCCAACCAAUUCAUUCAUUGAAAGGUUUAACAUAGAAAGAGCCGCUAAAUUUAGCAGUUCUCUUGGAAUCCAUCCAACCAGUUUGUUUGAAGAGAGGUCUAGCCAUUCAAGGUUGGUCAAACUCCCUAUUGAUGUGGGAAUGUAACCAUUAAGGUUAUUAUGAGAAAGGUUUAGCCCUUUGAGUGAUCCAAGCUUUCCAAUAACCUUGGGAAUCUCUCCAUCGAACUUAUUAUUUGAGAGAUCAAUGAUUGCCCACAUGACGAAAAUUUUAUUCAAUGCUAUAUCUUGUCCUUUCAUCACAAUUCCAAUGGAAUAGCUAUAAAAGCCACCACUACCAUUAACAUCUUGCACACCCAUGUAUGUCAUCGUACUUGCAUCCUUAGUGAGAUUUAUGAUAGCCUUGAAGCUGUUGAUGUAUCUCCCAGGUAGGGGUCCAGAAAAAUAAUUACUUGAAAGGUCAAAAAUUUGGAUUUUAGAGAAACAAGGGCUAGACUUGGAGCUAUGGUCAUGCAAGGAACCAUGCAUUUGAUUUGACUUUAGUACAAGAACUUGUAGCCGUGGAAGACUUCCCAACCAAUGAGGAAAUGUAUCAUUGAUCUUGUUGUUCCCAAGAUCUAGCACUUCCAAAGACCUACAAUUGAGGAUGGAUGGUGACAAAGGCCCUUCAAAUUGAUUUCCAUUUAAGUUGAGAUAACUCAAUUGACAUCCCUUUGCAAAUGUUGGAAGAAUCAUUCCAUAAAACUUGUUCUUCUUUAGAUUCAAAAAUUCAAGGGUGUUGCUCAAAUUUCCAAAACAUUGUGGAAUAGUUCCAAUCAAUUUAUUGUGGGACAAGUCAAGAACUUGGAGAGCACUCACAUUGCAUAUCAAAGAAGAGAUCUCUCCACCUAAACUAUUGUUUGAGAUCAAGAACACAUUGAUUGUCGAAGAUGGAAUUGGAAGAUUUCCAUGGAUCAAAUUGGAGCUUAAGUCAAGAAUAUUAAUAUUCUUCCAUGGCAGUUGCUCAACUUCUGUCAAUGAGUUGUGAGAUAAAUUUAAGUAACUCAAAGAGUCACAAGUCACCUUUUGCAGCCAUUGUGGAAUCUUUCCUUCAAUUCUAUUGUUAGAAAGGUCUAAAGCUUUCAACUUUUUUGACCCUUUCAAAAAUGGGGGGAAUUGGCUGACAUUAUUUGAGCUUAAGGAUAGGCUGUUUUGUGAAAGGUCAAGAUAUUCAAGAUUUGGGAGAUUUGAGAACAUGCUAAACUCUAUAACACCACUGAGAUUAUUUGAGUAUAAAAGGAGCCAGGUAAGAUUGAGAGAUUGGAAUAUUGAAGAUGGAAGAGGACCUUGGAGUUUAUUAUUCCCUAACACUAUCAUUUCUAGUGAUUUGGAUUGGAAUUCUUUGAUGUGUCCACUGAAUUGAUUUUGAGAGAGAUAUAUUUCCAUUAAGGAGGAAGCAGUAUACAACCAUGACGGAAGUUUUCCAUUUAGUAAAUUGUUAGAUAAGUCUAAAGAUAUUAGAUUAGGGAAAGCAGCUACCUCAUCUGGAAUGGGACCUUCUAAAGAAUUUUCAGCUAUUCUCAAGUGUUGAAGCUGUGUCAGGUUUAGAAUUGACAAUGGAACUUGUCCACUCAAUUGGUUCCAGGACAAGUCUAAAUAAGUGAGUUGCAAGAGGUUCCCCAAUGAUCUCGAAAUUGAUCCCCGUAAAUUGGAAUGAGACAGAUCCAAAUAUUUCAAGGCAUGUAGGUUAUCAAUCGAAUCAAUCAAUUUUGUAAAGGACAUCCAUGACAGAUCCAAAUGUUCAAGAUUACUGCUCUGAUUGAACUUCAGAAGAUCAAGACUAAGGUUUCGGUUGUAUCCUAAGUUGAGCAAAUUGAGAUUUGGCGAAUGAAGAAUGUUACUUGGGAAUUUUCCUUGCAAAUCACAACCACCAAGACUGAGAGACUUUAUAGAAGAGGAUAGAUUCAUGAAAACAUUAGGAUUAAUAGAAGGCAUGAUAAUUCUAUCAAGAAAAAGAUGUCUCACCUCAGUUAGGUUGUGAACAAGUCCCUCCAAAAUAUUUUUGUCAAGUGUUAAUUGGUCAAAAAACACAUUAUGAGAGAGAUCAAGUGAAACCAAUUUUGACAAGUGGGAGAUUUGGGAUGGGACUUUUCCUGCAAAUAACGUUUCUGAGAUGUUAAGAUACACCAGCCUUGUAAACUGACCAAACUCAAAGGGCAUCUUGGAAUAAUUAAAAUCAUUGUAGGCAAGGUUGAGUUUUUGAAUAUGAGGAAGAAGGAAAAGAGUACUAUUGGAAGGGAAGUUGCCAUACAACCAACUGCAACUCAAGUCAAGGGCAAUGACAUGAGCAUUUAGGUGAUCACAAGUGACCCCAUCCCAUGAGCAGCAAUCUGUACCCUCUUUCCAUGAAUUUGUCUUAGGAUAAGAUUUAAGGCCAGCAAUAUCAUCACAAAGAAGAGAAGUAAACUCUGUUUUGAUGAUGGAAAAUGAGUUCUUGAAAUGGAUCAAUGCAGUAGCUUCGUGAUGAGAGCACAAGUGUGUUACUGAAGAGGCAGAAAGAUGAGGGAAGAAGAAAAAUAGGUAAAGGAAGUGAUAGGAUGUGAUUAAGGAGGCCAUGUUAUGUUUUCAAAUAAGGUUAACAUGGUAUGAAUUAUGAGAACCCUAUUUAUAGGUAGAACAAAACCGAUAGAAACUAAGAAUUUUAAUGGUAUAGUCCAUUGAUAAUGAAGAUUCUAAGAAAUUUUAUGGAAAUUGUGGGUAACCAUCAUGUUUUUAUUUCUGAUGGAGAAAAGCUAAAAGUGUGAAGAAGACCAAAACUGUCAAUGUCACCCAAACCUAAUCUACAAGUCGCCACAAUGUCAGUAAUUCCCCCCACACACAAAAAGACAUAAUUUUGUCCCCACAUAUCCAAAGCAGGAAAAGAAGUUCAAAGUUUCAGAGUAAAUAACACUUGAAUGAUUGUAUUAUAGAAAACACGUCAAUGAUAUACAAUCCCUUAUCACUUGUCUUCUAUAUAUUCAAAGUUUACUGCUUGAAAAUUCAAACCAUGUGUAUCCUAUAUAUGCUGAACAGUGGUAUCUAACAAACAUAUUUUCCACAAGACUAGAAAAUGUGUAUGCCAUUUUCUAUUACUUGCAAGAAAACUACCAGUGAAAUUGCAUUUCUAAUUCAUCCAUAGGCUUUAAAUUCAAACAAUAAAAACGAAAAAGAACAGGAAACUUCUAAGAAAGAAAUUUUAUUACAUCAAUUUUCCAGUUAAGAUUAAAUUUGAAAAAAAAAAAAAAGGGCAUGUCCAUUUUUAUUUUUUAAAAGUAAAGGAUUAUAACUCAGCCAAAUAAAAAAGUCAGAAUGCAAAGCACACAAUCAACAAGCAGAAAAACCAACAACAUUGAAAACAAAAGGCAAUAACAGAUCAUGCACCGCACCAGGCCCAGAAAACCAAAUUGCAUCAUUGUAGUGUCAUUUAUAUUAUCAAGUCAUGAUAUCCAUAUUACUUUCCCACUAAUUAAUUCAGUUCAAUAUGCAUAAUUUGAAUUAAUGGCCUAAAUUUUAAACUUUGAAGAAACAUAAGGCAACUGAAUGAAAAUUAAUAACCUCCAUCACCAGAGCUGCCCGCGCUUGUCUUCGUACAUGUCCUCCAAGUAAGCAAGAUAAUUAUUUUCUCCUUUAGAGAUCAUGAAGAUCAAAAAUUGAACCUAAACAUCAGGAAAAUAUGUCAGUGGACAUUACAGUCAGAAAAAACAGAUGAUAAAGUACAGCAUCCAAAACCCAUGCCAUCAUUCUUUUUCUUAGAUGUCAAUGCUUACUGCUACUGAGGUCCCAUUGAGGCAAAAUGCUGGGAAAUGUUUGAGCCUUUUACCACAUGUUCAUGCAGUGCCUGCUCACGCAAUAUCUGAACUUUGUUCAGUCAAGUUCCUCAAAAGAUAGCCCUGUAAUAUGCAACAUAGGAAUCAGUGUCAGAAAAGGCCAAGGAAAGAGUAAGGAACUGAACUAGUAGAAAAUCAAAAUAGUAUACCAUAUUAUCCAGUGCUUGGGCUUUCCAAGCACUAAUCUCAAUCAUUUCACAAUCAGGAAGCGCAAAGCUAGCAGCGUGUCAUGUUUCGGUGACUCUGUCACAGAAAGUUCUAUAAGAAAAUGUAAAUUUCAGAGAUGUUUGACAUGGUGUUUACUUUCCAAGGAAACAUGAAUUCCAAAGAUCAACUACUCUGCCAAGUUUGUUGCUUCAAUCAAAAAUGGUAAGAACAACAAGACCAGUCAACAAUAAUCGAUAAUAACAUUUUCUAUAACACUAAAAAUGACUUGUAGGGAUUAUAAAUUUGAGGGGGAAAUGGAUGAACAAUGAGAUCAAGUUACAACGUACAAGCAUGUGAUAACUAGCAGACAUAACUCAUACAAGACCUAGAUGUAUUAUUGAACUCUUAUAUAAAAGACAACUGAAGAUGCAAAGCUUAAUUUUUAAGCUUUUCUGACGCUUGAUAAGCAUAGUUUUAGUUCAGUUCCUAAGUCUAAACUGCUUUGCUAUGGUAUUAUUUUUGUAAGUACAUUGAGACCGAUGCAUGCUAUUGCGAUUUAUCAUCUUUGAAGCCAAGAAAAUGACAGAAUUCAAAGACCAAAGGUUCGAUUACAUACUAGAUCGGUCUCCCUGAAACUACUGCUUUGAGAGCAUGGAUGUAAGCCAAUCAACAACCUCUCCUCAACCUCGAUUUGAAACCAGCAUGAAUUGAAUUCUCAGCACCAUAUACCCUCACAAACUCCUCUGCAACAACAUAAGACAUAUGCCUAACACUCCUCUGAGAACUGAUAACUGCACAGACAGAUUCACCGAUGGAAUCCUUAAAGAAAUAUUGAACCAUAUGAUUACCGCGCUCCUGUGAAAUAAACUCCUCCAUCCACUCGAAACAAUGACCAUUUCCAGACAUUUUGAUAUACAAUACGCAAUCUGCUUCACUACUUGUUCACAUAGCUAAAAGAUGUCCGAUGAAACUGGCAAGGGGUUCUUCUAAAAUCGUACAUUAGCUGCCAAAAAGACAACCACCAUACAUUCAUUCAUUCAGUAAACAGCUUCAAUAUGGACAUAAGCUAUUAUCUUAAAAAUGCUCUUUCUACCACAGAAGAAUAAGAACUAGGCAUCUCAGAAAACUUGCUAAAUUAAUGACUUUGCCCACUUCAAAAUGAACAAAUGAUUAACUGCAUUAACCCCAAAGAGGUCACCAUCAAUCUCCAGUUGAACUUUCAAGGAAUAAUAAUAAACAAAAGAAGGAAAUUAGGAAAAAGAAAAACUAACCAGAACUCAGUAAAAGCUGAUCCGUGAAGAUCUGCAGUUAGUAAAAGAUAAACCUCAUGACUAAAGUCCAAGCUUGAAAGAACCAAAAGGGAGCAAAUAUGGCUAUGACUCACUAAACCAAGAGAAUCACCAAUUAAUAAAGGAAAAUGAGUACUUUCCUUUAAACCUAAACAGACAAUAUUUAGCCUCAAAACAAGAUCCUCUUUGGGAAAAAUUCAGGUUUUCACAAAAGGUGAAAGUUAAAGAAUUUGUCUUUGUUUUGAUGUGUGGAACACGAGAUAGUGAAGGAAAAUAAAGGUGAGGAAAUAAGAUGGAGUAAGUGGUGCAAAAAGGAGAGCCUAAAAGAGACAUUUUUGAAGGGUAGUUUAGAAGUUGCAGAGGCUUUGGCAUACAGCAGCUGAUAAUGAGAGAAGACAAACCAGAAAUGUAAGUAAGACGACCACAAAAAUAAAGUUGAAAAAUUUUUAAGAAUUGAUGAAAUAACAUUUUGUAGCUUAGCAAAUUGGGACGAAGUCCACCAGUCCGACGCCCAUAGAACCAUACCUGGGAUUUUCCAUUUGGGAUAACUUUCUAACUUCUCCCACUUAUUCCUUGAAGUUUUUUUUUUUGCAUUAGUCUUGAAACAUUGCAGAUUUUUUCAAUUACAUUGCAAAUUUUUUCAAUUUUUGAAUUCCAUUAAACUUUGAGAUUGGAAAAAAAAAAGAUUAAUUUUUUUAAAAUAAAAAAAAAAUAAAGAAACUAAAUUUCAAGCAUGCAAAGUACAAAUGAAACAACUGUUAUUAUAAAAGAUGCGUUGAUUCACUCAGAUUGGAGUACCCUUAGACAAGCUUAUUCUUGUAGAGAAAGAAACUGAAUUUUGAUUUCAUUUGCUGCGGCAAUAAUUUUUAGUUUCAACAUAAUAUUGAAAGCCUGCCUACAUCUCGGCAGAAAAAAAUUACAAUUCUUUCAUCAGACAAUUUAAAUGAUGCAAUGCAAAGAGUCAUCAAUGUAUGAUCUUUUCAUCAUAAAAUAGCCUUUUUACUGGAAAACUUGAUACGUAGUGUCUUUCACAUUCUUCUAUGCCAAAUGAUCUCCGUAAACUGCAAUCAUCGACUAUACGUAACCCUUUUGUCAGCGCCGCCAGAGCCGACCUUGUUGUUUCUGUUCUUGAACUCGCCUGUGUCAUCAAAGGCAAUGAGCAUUUAUCAAUGUUAUAAAAACAAUACACAAAUGUAUGAAGAUACUUCACCUUUGAUACUUUUUAGAACGCUCGAGAAACUCUUUUGCGAUAUCUUUUCUUUCAUAGGAUUGCAAUACUUGUCUGAUAUCAGCCGGACUAUUGCGGGCUACAUCUGUGGACAAAUCAAAACAAAUGGUACUAUAAUCAACAAACGAAUAUGGGAAACAUAAAAUUUGAACAAAGGCAACAUGCAGAGGAAAAAGCAACAACAUAGACUUACAUUCAAGAAAUGGAAUAAGGUCUAAAAGUGCGGUAUAAUCUGUCUCGAGCUUAUAUGGCUUAAUAGGGACACAAUUUUCUGGUUGAAGGCUAGAAUCAAAUGCAUGAGCACUCACAUAUAAAAUCUUGGCUGGAUCCCUGUUUAGCUUUGAAAGAUCCUGCCAACAGGAACUAUUUGUUAACAAUAGGGCCAUAGAUUAAUACACAUAGUAUUGUAGAAACUAAGGAGGCAAAAACCAAAAACAAAAUGUUUUGAAGGGAAGAGAUUGACUAUAACAUGGUAAAAGUAUCAUGGAAACUCAUAUAUUAGAAGUCAGAUUGCAUUUUGCCCCCUUUACUCAAAGCCUAGACAAAUUAGUACCUAUAUAUUAGAUUAAAGAGCAAACUAGUCCUUUCUGUUAAAAAUUUCAUUCAUUGCUACUGUUAUUGGUGUAGUUAAUAGAAUAACUAGACAGUUGCGCGUGAUAUGUCACAUGUACCUCAUGCUAGUAUACAAGGACAAAUUUUUAAUUGUAGAAAUGGAUAGAAUUUGUAAUAGAAAGACCAAUUUGCUUUUUAAUCUAAUGUACAGGGACUAAUUUGCCAUUUUUUUAGUAGAGGAGGCAAAAUGCAAUUUGACUCCUAGUAUAAAGGCCUCCAUGGUACUUUUACCACUAUAACAUACUCUAUAAUGCUUGCCAUCCUGAUAUUUAGUAGCACCCCUUGAUAGCCUAUAUCGUAUACAAUGGUCAGUGUCCAACCUUUCACAAACAGGAUCAACAUACUGCACGGUCGAAAACAAACUAAUCAUGAACUUGCAGGCAACAUCAGUUAUCAUAUACUUGUGUAUUUAAAAUGGUAGCCACAAUGAAAAAUAUCAAAUUACCAUAUUCAUCUGGUCAGAAUAGACGACAAUUUCAUAGAAUUUUGCUAGAUGUUCUAGAAAGGCAUCAACUCCAGGUCUUUUGAAGGUACGCCAGCCUCUCUCUCGCUUUGCCAACCAAAAAGGGAAGGUUUUAGAUUUCAUAAAGGUGAAAUGGAAAAUAAUUUUAAGUCAAAUUCUUACCUUCCAGUCUGUAUAAAGUAAUGUCUCGUUCAGAUCUAGGACAAGAGCAAAAACAUGCUGUUCUAGAGGAUGCAAAUCAGGAAGAAGCUGAUCUGAAGUUGGUUCAGUAUAUUCCUGAAAAUACGAGAUAGAAUUAUAAGAACAAAGCAAAAGAUAGGCUGUCAAUAAUAGAAAACCGGAAACAAGAGAAAGAAGAAUGCUUCUCACCAGCAAAUGCUCUUCCACUAACCUCCUGAGAUCCAAAUAAGAUUCAAGUGCUUUAGCCGGAACUGAAAUGUUACAAGCAAAGAAACCAGGAAUAAAUUGGGGUUGAACCAGAACAUGUAAACAAAUAAAUAAUUGACCAACAUAAUAGACAGCAAUCAGCACCAAUGGAAUUUUCUUUUCUGUCUCAAUGAAUCCAUUUACAAUAAAGCAGCCCAAAUUUUCUAAAGGAAUAUUUUGGUAAAAAUACCAUGGAGGCCCUUGUACUAAGAGCUGAAUUGAAUUUUGACCCCUCUACUCAAAUAAUUGACAAAUUAGCACCUAUAUGUUAGAUCAAAAAGUAAAUUGGUCCAUCUAUUAAAAACUGUUCAGUUAUUCUGUCAACCAUCCCAGUUUUUAACAGUAGAAAAUGAAUAAAAUUUUUAAAAGAAAGGACCAUUUUGCUUUUUGAUCUAAUGUACAAAGACUAAUUUGUCCAUUUUUUAGUAGAGGGAAUAAAAUGCAAUCUGACACCUAGUACAGGGGCCUCCAUGGUAUUUUUACCGGAAUAUCUCCAGGCACUAGACAAUGCAAACCAAAUGCCCUGUUAUGCAAAUAUUGUGCUAAUAAUUAGGUUGACAUACUGAACAAAGACUUUAGAGAUAAUUGUAACCAUGAACAAACAAAGAAGCAAUAAGAGAUAGAGAAACACAAUAAGGUCAUCACCUGUCAUUGCAGCAGAGUAGAGCAAGCCUCCAUAUUUCUGAAAAAUAUAUGAAAAAAAAAAAAGAAUCAUUACUUUCAUAUCUAAUUUCUUCAUAGUAUUAGGACAAACUAAACAAUGGAUAUAUCACAUUAUUAAGACUUAGCUAAGGUACCGCAGAUAUACAUUCAAAUGAUCAAUCAUAAAGGAUGAACUAGGAGGCCCAAUGAUCAAUCAGAAUUACACCUAAACAACUAAAAUAAAUAGGGAAAAUCCUUUAAAAAAUCAAUUUAUAAACAAAAUCAAACUCACAUCAAUAGCAGAAGCAUCUUCACUAGGAGUAUAACUCGCUGCAGCCCGCAAUGCCUUUGCUUUAUGAUCUACUCCUCACAUGAACACUCUGCAAAUCAUAUUAAAUUCUUUUUUUUUUAAACCACUUUUAAUCAUAUAAAAAAAACCCAAAAUCACAAAUGAUCCGAUCUUUUAAAAAGGGGAAAAAGAAACUUACUAUAAGAGAGAUAACCAGCAUAGCCAGUAGUUCCAGUAACACCUGCAAUGAGUCCGUACUUGACAAAGCUCCAAAUUUUCCCUCCCGAACCCUGUGGGGAAACUUCCGGCGCCGGAGGAGGAGGUGUCGACUGAUCGGAGAGAAUGGAUUGUGAAGAAAUUAUUGUUCCUUUAGAAGGAUCCGAAGAAGAAGAAACCACUCCUGAACAUAAACCCCUUUGAGAAAUAAUCUUUGAACUGAAAUUAUUUGAAAUUGUUCGAGAUCUAAG
This 18219-nucleotide long non-coding RNA is filed under the name Gossypium barbadense (sea-island cotton). RNAcentral describes it as "long non-coding RNA (GBAR_LNC016784)". The stretch from base 15909 to 16049 matches the Rfam family "MIR7502 microRNA precursor family". Lineage: Eukaryota; Viridiplantae; Streptophyta; Magnoliopsida; Malvales; Malvaceae. The record is from RNAcentral.